This 253-nucleotide ribosomal RNA is filed under the name uncultured bacterium. RNAcentral's name for it is "partial 16S ribosomal RNA". It matches the Rfam family "Bacterial small subunit ribosomal RNA", at positions 524 to 776 of the family's 1533-position model. The record is from RNAcentral.
UACGUAGGGUGCGAGCGUUGUCCGGAAUUACUGGGCGUAAAGAGCUCGUAGGCGGUUUGUCGCGUCUGCUGUGAAAACUCGGGGCUUAACCCCGGGCCUGCAGUGGGUACGGGCAGACUAGAGUGCGGUAGGGGAGACUGGAAUUCCUGGUGUAGCGGUGAAAUGCGUAGAUAUCUGGAGGAAUACCGGUGGCGAAGGCGGCAUCCUGGACCGGCAUUGACGCUGAGGAGCGAAAGCCAGGGGAGCAAACGGG